Molecule: long non-coding RNA, 1046 nt
Filed under: Pan troglodytes (chimpanzee)
Lineage: Eukaryota; Metazoa; Chordata; Mammalia; Primates; Hominidae
Description: long non-coding RNA NONPTRT017979
Source: RNAcentral
CGGAAAUGCCUGUCGCGGAGCCUCGGUCCAUCCGCCCCUCCCAACCGGUCCGGCACAUCCAGGCGCACACACAUCUGUCCACAAACACACCCUCCCUCACACACACACAACUCACACACACACCAAUUCACACAUACACAACUCACACACCAACGCACACGCACACAACUCACACGCACACCAACUCACAUACACAUCAACACACACAUACACAACUCACACACCAACUCACACAUACAUAAUUCACACCAACUCACAUGCCAACUCACACAACUCAACUCACAUGUACACCAAUACACACACAUACACAAGUCACUUACACACCAACUCACUAACACACCAACUCAUACACAUCAACUCACACAUACACAACUCACACACCAACUCACACAUACACAACUCACACACCAACUAAUACACACCAACUCACACAUAUACAACUCACAUCAACUCGCAUACACACCAACUCACACAUCGACUCACAUACACACCAACUCACACGCAUACCAACUCACACAUACACAAGUCACUCACACCAACACACACCAACUCACACAUACACAACUCACACUAACACACACCAACUCAUACACAACACAACACACACACCAACUCACACAUACAACUCACACUAACACACACCAACUCGCAUGCACACCAACACACACAACUCAACUACACACCAACUCACACACCCUUACACAUACACAACUCACACACCAACUCACACCCUCACCCCAACACAACCUCACACAUAUACAACACACACACCAACUCACACCCACACACUUUCACACACACCCUCACACACCCUCACACACACCAACUCCCAUGCACACAUCCUCCCUCAUACACAACUCACAGACCCAUGCACACACCCUCGCCCCCACCCAACACAACCUCACACAUACACAACUCACACACCAACUCACAUGCACACACCCACACACCAACUCACACGCACACACCCUCACUCCCAAUGCAACCUCACAACUCACACCAACUCACACACCCUCACACCAACUCACACGCCCACACCCUCACCC